AAAGUCGAACAGACUUAAAUUUUAAGCUUCUACACCUAAAUUUAUUCUUAAUCCAACAUCGAGGUCGCAAUCUAUUUUAUCAAUAUGAACUCUCCAAAAUAAUUACGCUGUUAUCCCUAAAGUAACUUAUUCUAUUAUGCAUUAAUAAUUAAUCAAUAAAUCAUAAAUCAAUGAUAUAAUAAAUAAAAGUUCAUUAAAUUUUAUUAUCUCCCCAAUAAAAUAUAAUAAUCUAAAAUAACUAAAUCUUCUAAAUAAUUAAUUUUUAUAUUAUUAUAUAAAGAUUUAUAGGGUCUUCUCGUCUUUUAAAUCUAUUUUAGCUUUUUAACUAAAAAAUAAAAUUCUAAUAAAUUUUAUAUAAAACAGUCUAUAUUUCAUCCAACCAUUCAUUCCAGUUUUCAAUUAAAAAACUAAUGAUUAUGCUACCUUUGUACAGUCAAUAUACUGCAGCCAUUUAAAUAUUCAGUGGGCAGGUUAAAC
RNAcentral lists this ribosomal RNA (477 nucleotides) under Penicillidia sp. VH-2001. RNAcentral describes it as "partial 16S ribosomal RNA". Lineage: Eukaryota; Metazoa; Arthropoda; Insecta; Diptera; Nycteribiidae. The record is from RNAcentral.